This 253-nucleotide ribosomal RNA is filed under the name uncultured bacterium. RNAcentral describes it as "partial 16S ribosomal RNA". It matches the Rfam family "Bacterial small subunit ribosomal RNA", at positions 524 to 776 of the family's 1533-position model. The record is from RNAcentral.
UACAGAGGUCUCAAGCGUUGUUCGGAUUCACUGGGCGUAAAGGGUGCGUAGGCGGGUCUUUAAGUCAGGGGUGAAAUCCUGGAGCUCAACUCCAGAACUGCCUUUGAUACUGAAGAUCUUGAGUUCGGGAGAGGUGAGUGGAACUGCGAGUGUAGAGGUGAAAUUCGUAGAUAUUCGCAAGAACACCAGUGGCGAAGGCGGCUCACUGGCCCGGUACUGACGCUGAGGUGCGAAAGCGUGGGGAGCAAACAGG